This 253-nucleotide ribosomal RNA is filed under the name uncultured bacterium. Its description in RNAcentral is "partial 16S ribosomal RNA". It matches the Rfam family "Bacterial small subunit ribosomal RNA", at positions 524 to 776 of the family's 1533-position model. The record is from RNAcentral.
UACAGAGGUCCCAAGCGUUGUUCGGAUUCACUGGGCGUAAAGGGUGCGUAGGUGGUCGGGUAAGUUUAAGGUGAAAGCUCUGGGCUCAACCCGGAAAUGGCCUUGAAUACUAUCCGGCUCGAGGGUUGGAAGGGGGACUGGAAUUCUCGGUGUAGCAGUGAAAUGCGUAGAUAUCGAGAGGAACACCAGUGGCGAAGGCGAGUCCCUGGACAACACCUGACACUGAGGCACGAAAGCUAGGGGAGCAAACGGG